AACGAACGCUGGCGGCAUGCCUAACACAUGCAAGUCGAACGGGACCUUCGGGUCUACUGGCGCACGGGUGCGUAACGCGUGGGAACCUGCCCUUAGGUUCGGAAUAACUCCCCGAAAGGGGUGCUAAUACCGGAUAAUGUCUUCGGACCAAAGAUUUAUCGCCUUUGGAUGGGCCCGCGUUGGAUUAGCUAGUUGGUAGGGUAAAAGCCUACCAAGGCGACGAUCCAUAGCUGGUCUGAGAGGAUGAUCAGCCACACUGGGACUGAGACACGGCCCAGACUCCUACGGGAGGCAGCAGUGGGGAAUAUUGGACAAUGGGCGAAAGCCUGAUCCAGCAAUGCCGCGUGAGUGAUGAAGGCCUUAGGGUUGUAAAGCUCUUUUACCCGGGAUGAUAAUGACAGUACCGGGAGAAUAAGCUCCGGCUAACUCCGUG
Molecule: ribosomal RNA, 433 nt
Filed under: uncultured bacterium
Lineage: Bacteria
Description: partial 16S ribosomal RNA
Rfam family: Bacterial small subunit ribosomal RNA
Source: RNAcentral